RNAcentral lists this long non-coding RNA (2238 nucleotides) under Homo sapiens (human). RNAcentral's name for it is "HSALNT0077725". Lineage: Eukaryota; Metazoa; Chordata; Mammalia; Primates; Hominidae. The record is from RNAcentral.
UUUUUAAAUGUGCCAUUUUACAUGCAUUAACUCAUCCAGUCUUCCUGGAAGCCCUGCAGGGUUGGUAAUCCCCAUUUUACAAUAAGGAACCCAAGUCUGAAAAAGGUUCAAGGCCAGUGAGUGGUAGUUUCAGUACUGAACCCCUAUCUCCUAGACCCAAGGACCUGAGCUCUAAAGUCACUGGCCUGGGUGAACUCCCCAACCAUAAAGCUUUUGCCUUUUAAUUUACUUGAGAUUAAAUCAAGAAAAAAUUUAUAUAAGUACUUCUCUUUUAUAAAAUUGAGAUUAUAAACACAUGGCCCAAAUAUUGUAUUCACACUAUUUUAUUUAUCUUUGUUUUAGGACAAGGAAAAACUUGGCAGAAGAAGCAUGUCAAUAAAUUUUCAGAAACUAGAUGGAAGAAAGAUGAUGAAGUUACAAAAACAAGACCUGUCCCUUGGACUUAGAUGACUCACAAUCUAAUGGAAAAACACACAACUGUGAGCAACAUGUGAGAAAACAGCAUGAAAAGUGCCUUAAUAGAAGUAGGGGCACACAGAGCACGGGGCCUCUAGUUCUGAUGGUGGGAGCUGCAAGAGCGAGAGUGUGGCUGACUGCCAGGGUUACUACCUGAGACUGUCACUAUAGCAGUUACUACUGUUACUGCUUGGGACCGUCAUUACAAGACUGAAGGAAGGGACGAACGCAGAAAUGAAAACUUAAUACAAAAGAAACUGUUUUAAAGAAGACAUGAAAACUUAAGACAAAAGUAACUAUUUUAAGGAAAGGCUAGCAUGGGGAAGAAGAGAGAAGGAGAGAAGAAAGACUCCCUGCUUCUAAUGAGCAAAGGCAGCCGCCUAAGCAUCUACAGCCCUUAUUGGGUAACAAGAGCAGGGAGGAGGAGGUAACGAUUGGUCAGCUGCUUAAUUGAUCACAGGUUCAUAUUGUUACUAACAGGCUUCAAUUACGCCUAAUCGUAGGAACCACUUGCGCCUGGGUUGUGACUGACCUCAGCAGUCUUUCUGGGCGGCAGACGCAGUUUGUCAGUUUGCCAACAUUCUGCAUUUAUGAGAACAGUUUGUUGCUUACUCAUGUAGCCUCCAGUGGUAUACUGAGUUGAUCACGACCCUCACUCUUUCCGCCUCCAACACGGGAGUGCCAGCAAAGACCUCACAGGAUGUGCAGGAACAGAACAGGAAAGGAAACAGUUAUGUUACAAAUGGAGGAAAUAGCAUGAACAAAAGCCCAGAACCAUGAGAUAGCUGAGGGGAGAUAGGAGAUAAACGGAGCAUAAGGGACAUGGUGGAUGGGGCGUGAUGAAAGAAGUGAUGUUGGCAGAAGGGGUGCAGAUCACUGAGCUGACAUUCGAGUUUAUGCUGAAGCCAUGUGGACCACUGAAGGUUGUAAGCAGGGAAUUUACUGACAAGUUUUAUGUUUUAGAAAAAUCACUAUGGAAGAUGUAUAGAAAAACCAAAACACUCUGAGAAAUCUGAAGUCUUAAUCCAAAUUUAUUUUAUUUAUUAAUUAUUUGUUUCUAUCCCGAUUUCUCCUAACUACACUGGUAAGGUUUUAUUUUCAAAGUUAUAGUCUUUAUUUCCAAUGGUUCUUAUGCAAUGUUUAUAAGACAAAAGGAUCUUAAAGAAUACAAUUGAACUCAAUUCAAUAGAACUCUAUUUUCUCGCUACAACAUAAUACUUCUUGAAUUUCCUAGUGCAGAAUACAUUCAAGUCUUUUAAAUUAUUCAUUCCCCAUUAUGUAGAGAAAAUUAACCAAACUGACUCUGACUAAAGAAAAGAAAACAAAAUUUAAAGCCAAGAAUAAAUUAUGAUAAAACAUUGGUCUAAACAGCCAUUUAGAAAACUAUCCCAUCGUAAAAGCAGAAGAAAUUUGUGUGCAAAAAAGUUUAAAACUCCAUAUAGUCAGUGGUAUGAUUGUUCAUUUGCUCCUAAACAUUCCCAAAUUGUGCCUAACUCUGAGCUACUUUUGCUUAGAAAUAGAAUUAGAAUGAUUUUUAAAAUGUAUUCUAUUUAUUUUUUUCCUCUUUUUAUAAAUAGAUUAUGUUCUUUCUAACAUCCCAACAUGGUCAAAGGCAUUCUUCUAGCAACUCGCAAAUUUCAGUAAAACUGUCACCUUCAGUAAAAGUUCAAAAUGUCAAAAUAAUUUUAAAUUUAGUAUGAAAUUUCACUUGUUUUGCUAUGUAGUUUGGAAAUAUCAAAUGUUAACCAGAAAAUGUAUGAAACACAAUAAAAAUGAGUAUGU